CUGACUUCAAGUGAUCCACCCGCCUUGGCUUCCCAAAGUGUCUUUUAUUAUAGUUUUAAUUAGAAAGGACAUAACAUCAAUAGAAUUGUCUAAGAAGCUGUGAUGUGACAUCUUUCAGUAUGAGGUGUACAUAUAUGUGUGUAUAUGUAUGGUAUUUAAUGUAACCUACGUGUGUUAGUUUUCUUGUAACACAUUAAAGAUUUUAAGAUACAGAAUUAUGCACAAGUGUUUUGAACAAGCUUUAAAGAUUCUAAAUUUAUCUUUACAGUUUAUCUUCUCAUACUGCCAGCUUUAUAUAUUCAAAUUCUAUUUCUCCUCUAAGGUCAGCUUUCAAAUGUAUUUUUUUUUUCCAGAUUUUUCUUUCUAUUGCUGUUUUAAAGAUUAUUUCCCUACUUUUACCAUACCUUAAGAUAGCUCCUUUUUACUACCAAUAGUAACAAGAAAGCAGUAGCCAUAAGACAUUUUUGAUAGUGUGCUAGUUUGAAAUUUGAAAUUAAUAAUGAGUGUUACAACAGUUUUAAUGGAGAUGAAGAUUAGGUACUGUGGAGAUACAAAAUCCAUAGUUUCUAAAUACCUUCAUUUUUUAAUGAAUUUAGAAAAUUGAUUUCAUGGAGGUAGUAAAUAGAAUGGUGGGUACCAGAGGUUGGGGUGGGUACGGGGAGAGGUUGGGUGAAGAAGGUUAGUUCAGUGAGUAUAAAAAUACAGUUAGAUAAAAGGAAUAAGUUCUGGUGUUCAGUGGCACAAUAGGCUACUGUAGUUAACAAUAAUUUAUUGUUUAUUUUGAAAUAGGUAGAAGAGAAAACUUUAGAAUGUUCCCAGCACAAGGAAAUGUUAAGUGUUUGAGGUGAUGGAUAUUCCAGUUAUGCAGAUGUCAUCAUUAUUCAUUGUAUGCUUGUAUUUGAAAUACCACAUAUACCCCAUAAAUAUGUACAACCAUUAGGUAUCUGUUAAAAAAAAAA
Cercocebus atys (sooty mangabey) is the source of this 959-nucleotide long non-coding RNA. RefSeq lists it as uncharacterized. The transcript has 2 exons. NCBI's taxonomy places the organism in Eukaryota, Metazoa, Chordata, Mammalia, Primates, Cercopithecidae. The record is from RefSeq and is a predicted model, not a curated record.